GCUGCUCAGGCCCGCACAAUGUCCCGUGCCCCUCCUCACUCGUUUGUAAUCGCCGUCUGUUUUGUUGUUCUGGGUAAGGAAGGCAAGAGCUAUAGAUAAAACUUAAAUAAUAAUAAUUUAAUGUGAAUGGGUUCUGAGCUCUCCCUGCGCCCCGGGUGGGCCAGGCCGAGCAUUUUGCACUAAUGUGUCCCACGGUGGGCGUGAGUCGGGAGUGUCUGUGGACGUGCGUGGCUGCUGAGCGGACCUGCUGUGUGCUCCCUCCACGUCCUGAAUGUACCGUGGGGCGGGGGCGGCGGCCCGGGCUCAGAGGGGCCUUCCAGAGUGCCUUAGCAUCCUUUGAUCAUUUUUCCCAAGGAAACCAAUUAAGAAAGCCGGACCCUUCCCUCCUUUGUUUACAAGAUGACUAAUUCUAGAAUCCGGGGUUGUCCUGUCCUGUGAGUGUGACCCUGACUCAUCCAGACCCUGUAGAGAGAGACGAGCCACUCAGUAUUUACGAGAUGUCUGCACCUUUAUCCCUAAGCCUGACUAUUAGCAAUACGCAUAUCCUAUAUAGAAUCUAUUACAGAGCUACGUUAUCUCCACACCUUUUGAGGACAGAAGGGACUGGACCGUGUUGGAGCUGCCGCCUGGCAGGUGGUGGGCCUGGGAUCUAGCCGCCUCUCCUGCCCUGCCUUCCUCUUCCCCAAGGGGAUGGGCCCAGGAGGCAGCUGGGUUGCAUGGAGAGGUCCAGGAGGGACCGGAGGUGUGACAGAUACUGUGAGCCCGGCGGGCCGCGCCUGGCUGGGUGCCUCGGUACUUGAAUUCUGUCUUGUUUUCCGCAUUGUGUCUGUCCACCCGAGUUCUCUGUCGUCACUUAACUUUGCAUUGGAUUUGGUUGUUGUACUUUGCCCCUGAAUGUGGACAAAGCUGUGGGCAAGAGGUCAGCAGGACCCGCCUGGGGGUGCCGGCGUUGGUGACUGUGGGUCGGGGCUCCUAGAACAUAGGAGCCGGCUGCCUGGCCUCCUUUCUCCUCCAGGAAGAGUCAUUCUUUGGCAUUUGUGUUUAGAGCCAGGAGGAAGGCAGAAGGUAGGGAGGGAGGGCUGGUCCCCCUCUGAGGGGGCUCUAGUGCCUGACCCUGACCUGUCCUCAUUCGACAGCUGAAACUGUAAGCGCUGGCCCAGUCCCCCCACCACACCCAGCCGUGUACUGCCUGGGCUCCCCUCAAAGGGAAAUUUUUACGGAAACAUCUUGGCAGCAAGUGGAAAAAGAUCUAUGGCCCAUGAACCAACUGAAAACUCCAAGAAACCUCUGUCUGCCUCUGUCUGCCUCUGCCAGCAGCGAGUCCUAAGCGCAGAAUCCAGAGCUCGUAGCUGUCCUCAGCUGUAACUACUGUUUCAGAAUGUUGCUGCUGCAUACAUUUGUCAUGUCAGCCAGCCAGCUCCGUGGAAAAGGAAAGGAAAAUUAUGCAGAAUCGCAAGCAUUCAGACUGGACGACCUGCUCGUAUUCCGAUCAGUCGCUUCCAUUGUUAGCAUCGUACACGAUUGUGAUUUUUAUGUCAAAAGAAGCCAAAACUUGCAAUACUAUUUUUAGCAGACAAAAAAAAGAACUAAGUAUAAAAUGUAUAAAUAUUUUUGACUUGAACAUUUGGAUGGCACUGGGUGCAAGUAGAGCAUCCAUCCUUCGGAUGGAACGUUUGGAAAAGAGACUUUUAAAAAGGAGGCGGUUGUUUUAAAGAGUCUGUUUAGGGGUUAAAGUACUGUAACUCACGACUGUUAAAAAAUAAAUUUUCCUGUGCUGUAAAGGAAGGUUUCACAGUACCACUGAGUUAGAUUUCAGCCACAGAUGCUUAGCUUUUUUUUUUUUUUUUUUGUCUUUUUUUUAAGGAGGAAGCCUUUGUUUUGUUUUCCUGAGCCCUCACUCUCUUUUUGUGCUGUUACUCGGUAGAGUCAAGACUGUUACUUUUUAGCCAUGGCUGACAUUGUAUCAAUAACUAAAACUGAAACAUCCAAAAGCGAACAGGGAAACCGAGGGCUUCAAGCGUGCUCAGAGCCGUUUCAGACAGUGGAAAUCCAUGACAAACAAAAGGAUGUGAUCAUUAAUUGUAAAGCGCUUUGUAAAAUUCACAUUUACAAAAUAAUAAAGUCAGUUCAAACCUAA
RNAcentral lists this long non-coding RNA (2137 nucleotides) under Pan troglodytes (chimpanzee). Its description in RNAcentral is "long non-coding RNA NONPTRT017999". Lineage: Eukaryota; Metazoa; Chordata; Mammalia; Primates; Hominidae. The record is from RNAcentral.